RNAcentral lists this long non-coding RNA (797 nucleotides) under Ananas comosus (pineapple). Its description in RNAcentral is "long non-coding RNA (ACOM_LNC019238)". The record is from RNAcentral. Lineage: Eukaryota; Viridiplantae; Streptophyta; Magnoliopsida; Poales; Bromeliaceae.
AAACAUGGUAUUUAGUUUAAAACAUUUGAACCAAACUGUCGUAACAGGAACUACAUAAGAAGGUUUAACUGUCGUAGUUGAAAACACAUUCAAAUUAAUUAUAGUUCUAAUCACAGUAUCACAAUAAUUAAAAAUAAUAAAAAUAAUAAAUUUAUCUUUCUAAUUAUAUUUUAAGUAAAAAAAAUCAUGCACGUUUGAAAUUCUAGAAUGCACGCAAUAAAAUAAAUUAUUUAUAUAUUCAAUUUCUUUAUACCAACGCACCAAUAAACAGCGAAUCACAUCUCUCUUUUUUUUAAAAAGAUAUAAAUUUUUUUUUUAAUAAUUAUAAUGGGAUCUAUAAAUUAAAAAAAAUGAUAUUAAAAAUGCCACAUCAGCAGAAAAAAAAAAGUGUGAAAAAAAGAAAAAGGAAAAAGAAAAACGAACUCCUUGAAUAUUUACUUAUUGGAUUAUUUGCAUACACGUCCCUACAAAUAUGAUGAAUUAUAAAAAUAUUCCUGCAAAAUAGAAAUUCCAUAAGUUAUUCCUACAAAAGUCCUAAGUUAUGCAGAUAUGCACCUCUGGUUGAAAUCUGUUAGGAAACUGUUAAUUUUUUAACAGUUUUCUUGUGAAAUGACUUUAUUGCCCUCACAAAUAUAUCCUUCCAAAAUAUUUCUCUUCCCCUUUCCUUUCUCUCCCUCUUCGGGCCACGGGAGUGGACGGCGGCGGCGCGGGGUUGGAUUCGCCGGCGACGAAAAAAAGAGAAGAGAAAGAAGGAGAGGAAGAGGGAGAAGAAGAGGAAGAGGAAGAGGAAGAGGGAG